RNAcentral lists this ribosomal RNA (301 nucleotides) under uncultured bacterium. Its description in RNAcentral is "partial 16S ribosomal RNA". It matches the Rfam family "Bacterial small subunit ribosomal RNA", at positions 509 to 809 of the family's 1533-position model. The record is from RNAcentral.
CAGCCGCCACGGGAAUACGGAGGGUGCAAGCGUUAAUCGGAAUUACUGGGCGUAAAGCGCACGCAGGCGGUCUGUCAAGUCAGAUGUGAAAUCCCCGGGCUUAACCUGGGAACUGCAUUUGAAACUGGCAGGCUAGAGUCUUGUAGAGGGGGGUAGAAUUCCAGGUGUAGCGGUGAAAUGCGUAGAGAUCUGGAGGAAUACCGGUGGCGAAGGCGGCCCCCUGGACAAAGACUGACGCUCAGGUGCGAAAGCGUGGGGAGCAAACAGGAUUAGAGACCCCUGUAGUCCCUGUCUCUUAUAA